GAUGAACGCUGGCGGCGUGCCUAAUACAUGCAAGUCGAGCGAACGGACGAGAAGCUUGCUUCUCUGAUGUUAGCGGCGGACGGGUGAGUAACACGUGGAUAACCUACCUAUAAGACUGGGAUAACUUCGGGAAUCCGGAGCUAAUACCGGAUAAUAUUUUGAACCGCAUGGUUCAAAAGUGAAAGACGGUCUUGCUGUCACUUACAGAUGGAUCCGCGCUGCAUUAGCUAGUUGGUAAGGUAACGGCUUACCAAGGCAACGAUGCAUAGCCGACCUGAGAGGGUGAUCGGCCACACUGGAACUGAGACACGGUCCAGACUCCUACGGGAGGCAGCAGUAGGGAAUCUUCCGCAAUGGGCGAAAGCCUGACGGAGCAACGCCGCGUGAGUGAUGAAGGUCUUCGGAUCGUAAAACUCUGUUAUUAGGGAAGAACAUAUGUGUAAGUAACUGUGCACAUCUUGACGGUACCUAAUCAGAAAGCCACGGCUAACUACGUG
RNAcentral lists this ribosomal RNA (497 nucleotides) under uncultured bacterium. Its description in RNAcentral is "partial 16S ribosomal RNA". It matches the Rfam family "Bacterial small subunit ribosomal RNA", at positions 28 to 507 of the family's 1533-position model. The record is from RNAcentral.